Molecule: ribosomal RNA, 500 nt
Filed under: uncultured bacterium
Lineage: Bacteria
Description: partial 16S ribosomal RNA
Rfam family: Bacterial small subunit ribosomal RNA
Source: RNAcentral
AUUGAACGCUGGCGGAAUGCUUUACACAUACAAGUCGAACGGCAGCACGGACUUCGGUCUGGUGGCGAGUGGCGAGCGGGUGAGUAAUACAUCGGAACGUGCCCAAUCGUGGGGGAUAACGUAGCGAAAGCUACGCUAAUACCGCAUACGAUCUAAGGAUGAAAGCGGGGGAUCGCAAGACCUCGCGCGAUUGGAGCGGCCGAUGGCAGAUUAGGUAGUUGGUAGGGUAAAGGCCUACCAAGCCGACGAUCUGUAGCUGGUCUGAGAGGAUGAUCAGCCACACUGGGACUGAGACACGGCCCAGACUCCUACGGGAGGCAGCAGUGGGGAAUUUUGGACAAUGGACGCAAGUCUGAUCCAGCCACUCCGCGUGCAGGAUGAAGGCCCUCGGGUUGUAAACUGCUUUUGUACAGAACGAAAAGGUUUCUACUAAUACUAGGAGCUCAUGACGGUACUGUAAGAAUAAGCACCGGCUAACUACGUGCCAGCCGCCGCCGUAA